UAGGCCGUGCUUUGUGCCGGUAUGAUUCUCCUCAAGUCCACUUGAUUGUGGCUUCAGGCCCAGAGAGGGUGUAAGGCCCGUGGAGGCGAGUCGUCCGGUGCCCGGCACGUCCUUAGAGUCGGGUUGUUUGGGAAUGCAGCCCAAAGCGGGUGGUAAACUCCAUCCAAGGCUAAAUACUAGCACGAGUCCGAUAGCGAAGAAGUACCGCGAGGGAAAGUUGAAAAGAACUUUGAAGAGAGAGUUCAAGAGUACGUGAAACCGCUGAGAGGCAAACUGGUGGAGCUGAAAUGGUCUUUAGGAAUUCAGCCCUUCCUGCUAGAGUUGACGUUGGAUGUGAGAUCUCACGACUCCGCCGGCGGCAUCUUCGUGCGGGAUAGGUGCACUUUCCUGUUGAUCGGACCACGACCAGCGACUUGUCUUGUCUGGCAUAAGUCGGAAGGUGGCGUUGGCCUCGGCGAACGUGUUAUAGCCGCUUAUUCGGGCUGAGCAAGGCGUUGGAAGGGAUCGAAGUCGCCUGCCCUUUGGGCUCGUACGUUGUCACUUUCAGGCGUGUCGCCGGCUUCACUGCCUUUGGCAGGGGUGUUGGAGACGUGUCGGUUAGGGUCGGCCUCUGCGAUUGGCGUCGAAAGUCUGUGGUUGUGAAGUAGGCAGUCCACCUGACCCGUCUUGAAACACGGACCAAGGAGUCUAACAUGUGCGCGAGUCAUUGGGCUCUACGAAACCUAAAGGCGCAGUGAAAGUAAAGAUCCAUUCUGAUGGAUUGAGGUGGGAUCCUGAGUCACGUGCUCGGGCGCACUACCGGCCCGUUCGACAUGUCUUCAUGCGGGCGGAGCAAGAGCGUACACGUUGGGACCCGAAAGAUGGUGAACUAUGCUUGCGCAGGUCGAAGCCAGAGGAAACUCUGGUGGAGGACCGUAGCGAUUCUGACGUGCAAAUCGAUCGUCAAACGUGAGUAUAGGGGCGAAAGACUAAUCGAACCAUCUAGUAGCUGGUUCCCUCCGAAGUUUCCCUCAGGAUAGCUGGCACUCGGGAAACGAAACAGUUUUAUCCGGUAAAGCGAAUGAUUAGAGGUAUUGGGACGAAACUGCUCUCAACCUAUUCUCAAACUUUAAAUGGGUAAGAUGCCCGACUCGCUCAA
Molecule: ribosomal RNA, 1138 nt
Filed under: Notoplana australis
Lineage: Eukaryota; Metazoa; Platyhelminthes; Polycladida; Notoplanidae
Description: partial large subunit ribosomal RNA
Rfam family: Eukaryotic large subunit ribosomal RNA
Source: RNAcentral